This 72-nucleotide transfer RNA is filed under the name Mycobacteroides abscessus. RNAcentral describes it as "tRNA-Glu(ctc)". It matches the Rfam family "tRNA". Rfam says of the family: Transfer RNA (tRNA) molecules are approximately 80 nucleotides in length. Their secondary structure includes four short double-helical elements and three loops (D, anti-codon, and T loops). RNAcentral also lists the same sequence under 1 other name. The record is from RNAcentral. Lineage: Bacteria; Bacillati; Actinomycetota; Actinomycetes; Mycobacteriales; Mycobacteriaceae.
GGUCCGUUCGGUUAGUGGUAGGCCCCGGGAUUCUCAGUCCCGUUACGCGGGUUCGAUUCCCGCACGGACUAC